Molecule: long non-coding RNA, 832 nt
Organism: Lutra lutra (Eurasian river otter)
Lineage: Eukaryota; Metazoa; Chordata; Mammalia; Carnivora; Mustelidae
Exons: 4
Source: RefSeq, a predicted model, not a curated record
CUGAUCCCUCCCUGGGCUCAGGCAGCCGAGUGCGGUGAUUAAGCUCGAUCCCAGGAGCGUCUCGACGCCCCUUGGGGAGUGCGAAGAGUGCAGCGUCCUUGGAAGCCAGCUUUGAAAAGGGCACCUGACUUCUCAGGACCUCAGGAGGCGCCUCAGAGAAACCCCACCGCACGGUCCGCGCGUGUCUCAGCAUCCCAGGUGACAUCAUUGUAUAGUCAAGGUUGAGCACGGCUGAGCUGAUUUUGAGUACCUGGCCCAUAGCUUCUUGUCUGGCUGUGAAGUCCUGGACUGGCCUCUACACUUCUUCAAGCUUUGGGUGCUUCCACUGUAGAAUAAGGACACAGAGGAAGGAGGGAUUCAUCUGAAGAAGAAGGAGUCUGUCAGUCAGCGUGGUGGGAGAGGAGGUGACUCUUCUACCACAGGAAACAACGUGAGUAGAGCAUGCAGGCUCUGGUGAAUACUUUAGAAUGGAAGUGUUGGGUCAUUCAAAGUGAAGAAAUGAAUGAAUGAAUAAGUGAAAACUCCCUUUUCUUGACCGUGACUUACAAAUUCAACUCUCACUUCCUAUUAUAUUGAUGCACUGGAACUUCAAUUAGAAAAAGCUUGAGGAGCCCUGACAUAACACAUGGCCAUCAAAGAAUCCACUGUCAUAUACUCAGAAUUGGGAAGGACAAUGAAAGUAACUGGAUCCCCUCUCAACCUCAGUAAUCAUUAAGGAAAUGCAAAUCAAACUAUGGUGAAAUAUCACCCUAUAUGCAUAACAAUGACUAUUAUCAAAGAAACAGAAAAUAAAGUGUUGAUGUGGUUGUGGAAAAAUUGGAACUCUUGUGCA